This 2857-nucleotide long non-coding RNA is filed under the name Podarcis lilfordi (Lilford's wall lizard). Lineage: Eukaryota; Metazoa; Chordata; Lepidosauria; Squamata; Lacertidae. The record is from RNAcentral.
UGGAAGUCCUGAAUAAGCUAGUUAUUUGUGGUAAUAACAGUGGCAAUAAAGAUAAUAAGAAGCCACAAACAGCGCCCCACCUCUCCUCCACGCGAAAUUGUUAUAAUAGGGCGUACCCUUGACGGGUAGAACCAGAUCCGGUUGUGUGGCCACGGGAUCCUGCUCACGCCUAGGCCACAUUUUGCAAGUGGAGACCAAAGACCCACUGACGCCACAGCCUCCGCCCACUGAAGAAACACGUGGUUGUCAGGCGAGAGGGCGAUGUUGCUCCCAGAUCUCGAUCUCUCUCUUUCUGUUGUCUGUACCUUAAAACAGCUGGAGCCGGAAGCUUCUAACCCAGGCUAGCUUUGCCGAGGGUGUCCAUGGGAAAUGAAAGCAACAUUCUGUUGUAAGAUGAAACGCAUUUCUGCCCGGCCCACCCUUACAACAGAGCAUACAGCAUCAGAUGUAAUAUGCACGGAGAAGAAUGUUAUUUCCCCAACCCCAGCUUUAGGCAGCGUAGAUAGAAGAUCUUUUGUAAAGCCAAUGCGCCUUUGUCUUCUGUGCUGGAUUUAACUGUUAAGCUUGCUUCCCAAGUCAGUGUUGGCUGAGCCUGCGGACAUUAGCUUGUACACGUUGCCUUCAGAGCAAGGUUUGGGAAUCUGGGGCCCUGCAGAUGUUGCUGGAGUAGAAGUCACAUAACCCAUGGCCACUGGCAAUGCUGGCUGGGGCAGAUGGUGGAGUGCAACAAUACCACAGGGGUCCCUGCAGACCUUGCCUUAGAACAAGAGGUGAAGGAGGAGGAGGAGGAGUUUGGAUUUGAUAUCCCGCUUUAUCACUACCCUAAAGGUAAAGGGACCCCUGAGCAUUAGGUCCAGUCACGAAUGACUCUGGGGUUGCGGCACUCAUCUCGCUUUAUUGGCCGAGGGAGCCGGCGUACAGCUUCCGGGUCAUGUGGCCAGCAUGACUAAGCCGCUUCUGGUGAACCAGAGCAGCGCAGGGAAACGCCGUUUACCUUCCCGCCAGAUUACGUAUUUAUCUACUUGCACUUCAUGCUUUUAAACUGCUAGGUUGGCAGGAGCAGGGACCGAGCAAUGGGAGCUCACCCCAUCACGGGGAUUCGAACUGCCAACCUUCUGAUCGGCAAGCCCUAGGCUCUGUGUUAUCAAAGCUGCUAACAAUCUCCUUCCCUUCCUCCCCCACAACAAACACUCUGGAAGGUGACUGAGGUUGAGAGACUUCAGAGAAGUGUGACUGGCCCAAGAUCACCCAGCAGCUGCAUGUGGAGGAGCGGGGGAUGUGAACCCAUUUCACCAGAUUACGAGUCCACUGCUCUUAACCACUACACCACGCUGGCUCUCCCUUCUCAUGUCUAUAAAGGGCCUUUGACCCAAGGUUGGUGGAGCAUUCACCGUCCAUCUUAUGGACAUGGUGCAACCUACCAUGAACACAACUGAAGACCAGGACCUUAAUUUCAAUGCCUUGCAGACAGAUCCCACCAUAGGAGCCAACUCCUAGGGGCUGAUAAAUAAAAUAUUUGAGGGGGCCAACCAUCCCAAAGUUGAUGGGCAUACUGAUGCCAGAUUUACGUAUAAGCUAAACAAGCUAUAGCUUAGGGCUACACUCUCUUGGGCCCCCCCCAAAAAUUUAAAGGGGAAAAAACUGGAUGUGCAUUUCCAAAAUAUAAGCUAAAAAACACAUAAAAUAAAACCUAUAUACAGCAACAGUGUUUUGUCUUGUGUAGGCUCCUGUGAUGUAAGUAAUGGGCCCCGCCUGCUAGUCUGCUCCCUAAAAUAUCACUAGUUUGCUCAUUUCUAUAUAUAGGGUGCCUACAUUUUGCCAGGACUAGUUGCAUGGCAACAUGUGCAAAUGGCUUUAGAUACCUAUUAAGUCCAUAAAUUACCAUAUAGCAUAUAUUCAACACAAAAAACAGCGACAAUUUGUUGUUGACAAAGGACAGCUGGACAUAUAAAGGGCCCCAAUACCUUCAGUACCUUAGGGCCUCCUCAAACCUAAAUCCGGCCCGGGGCUGCAUGCAUGGGGUGCAUGCAUGAAUCAUGUAAUUGAUUAUGUGAGGCAGGGGUUACCUGUCCCCCCCUCCAAUAUUUUAUUCAAGUUGGCACCCCUGGAUCUCACUGACUUUCACUUUGAAGUAAAACUUUUCCCAUUCAAAAGCUCUUAUAUCGUGGGCUUCUAAAUAUACAUGGAUGGGAUUACGCUGUUGACUGGCUGAAGAAAAAAUGAGAUGGGUGGGGCAGCGCCCUAAUGGAUCGACCUCCACUGACCGUUGGGCUGCAAUCCUGCAAGUACUGUACUUUCCUGGGGGUAGGCUUACUUCUGAGUUGCUCUGUUAAGAGUUGGAAGAGCGGGGUCGAGGACAACUUCCCAGAUCGCGCAUGCGCAGAAAGGCCUUUCCCUUCCUCCCCGCCGGCGCUUAUAGGAUUUCCAGGUCCGACGGAGCGGGUUGCCAGGCAGCUCUUCUCUUCAAGCUGAACCAGCGGCUUCUGCCGGGAGCCAGGCGAGUGGCCUGGCUGGAAGAACUCCCCUCUCCGGAGCCAGCCACCACGUCUGGUUUUCAUAGAGCCGCGGCAGCAAUUACCUCAAAGCCGUAACUGUCUCCGAAAUUAUUCAUUAAAGUCAUUCCGAGGAGCCCCAGCAAAGCCCCGCUUGAAGUUUAUGGCCUUUGGUGGCCUUGAAACAUGACAUUGCCCUUCAACAGCUAGCGUCGGAGGGCUCUCUGCCGCCCUCUCUUCUUAAUCUUCCCCCCGCAAAAAAAAGUCAUAGAUCGCCCCCUCCCACACACAGCCCCUUCCCCUCUUUUGAAGGUGGCGGUGCUGCUGCUCGCCUGACUGACCAACUUGCCUCCGUGUGUGCGCGC